Long non-coding RNA from Papaver somniferum (opium poppy), 455 nucleotides. RefSeq lists it as uncharacterized. The record is from RefSeq and is a predicted model, not a curated record. The transcript has 2 exons. NCBI's taxonomy places the organism in Eukaryota, Viridiplantae, Streptophyta, Magnoliopsida, Ranunculales, Papaveraceae.
AGACAACCAGUCAAAUCCGACCCCAAAAUCUCAACGAAGAUGUCCAGUUUGAAGACUACUCAGCUGGUUGUGGCUCUGAGCUUGUGCUUGCUUCUUCUGGAUUUUUCGUUCUCCGCAGAGGCGGCUGCAAUACAAUUUACUGAUGUUGUAGAAGCGGCAGCAAAUCAACAAUGUGACCAGAGAGAUUAUUGUUUUGAUGAUAAUGUUGAAGAGUGUAACAAGAUAUGUCUAGGGCUACAUUAUCGUGGAGGCAUUUGUUUGCAACCGCCACCUGAUGCUUCAUCAAAUCGUGACGAGAAGAUUGAUGUUAACCGAUGGAAAGUUUCAACGCUACACCAUUGUUGUUGUUAUCAUUGAUGGAUCUCUAGUCUUGUCUUAGCAAUGUUCCAAAUAAAUAAAAAUAAAAAUUAUUGUUAUUAUAAAUUUUUUUAAAGAUAAUGGAUCUAUCUACCCCA